GCUCCUGUGGCCUAGUGGUCAGAGCGUCUGCCUCGGAUGCGAGAGGUCGCGGGAUCGAAUCCCGGUCGAGUA
Molecule: non-coding RNA, 72 nt
Organism: Potamilus streckersoni
Lineage: Eukaryota; Metazoa; Mollusca; Bivalvia; Unionida; Unionidae
Source: the annotation of a GenBank genome assembly